UACAGAGGUCCCAAGCGUUGUUCGGAUUCACUGGGCGUAAAGGGUGCGCAGGUGGGCUGUCAAGUUUGGUGUGAAAGCCCCGGGCUUAACCCGGGAAUGGCAUUGAAUACUGAUGGUCUGGAGGAUUGGAGGGGGGACUGGAAUUCUUGGUGUAGCAGUGAAAUGCGUAGAUAUCAAGAGGAACACCAGUGGCGAAGGCGAGUCCCUGGACAAUUCCUGACACUGAGGCACGAAAGCCAAGGGAGCAAACAGG
Molecule: ribosomal RNA, 253 nt
Filed under: uncultured bacterium
Lineage: Bacteria
Description: partial 16S ribosomal RNA
Rfam family: Bacterial small subunit ribosomal RNA
Source: RNAcentral